Molecule: long non-coding RNA, 1689 nt
Organism: Myxocyprinus asiaticus (Chinese sucker)
Lineage: Eukaryota; Metazoa; Chordata; Actinopteri; Cypriniformes; Catostomidae
Exons: 3
Source: RefSeq, a predicted model, not a curated record
UGUUGAGAUCCUUUGAAAAUAUGGUUCAACAUUUUGGAAUUCCCAGGUCUCAAUUAUUCAGGUAUUUACAGCUGCGCCACAUGCUCUGUACUAUUUCUGGGAGUAGCAUACAUCCCCCUAAAGCAGCAGAUACUCUGGGAGUGGUGAUUACUGCUUUUGGCACUCAAAUUUCAUUUUGCCCCAGACUCUGUAUUUUAGGCGAUGGGGCGGAAAUUAAUAUAGGGGAUAAAUGCAUACAAAAUUGGGUCCUAGCCAGUGUUAUGAUCAGCAGACGGAUUAUUCUUAAGGGAUGGAAGUCGGCUGGAGCACCUUCAUUUCAAGAGUGGUGCACAGAGAUGGGGAGGGUAGCAGCAUUCAAGGAAAUGUCAUAUAGAAGUUUGCUCUUGACCUAACAGUGCAUCUACUGGAAGAUGAGGGUUGACUCCAAACAGCAAGUAAUGUGGUGAAAGUCACUGGAUAGGUGUCUCAACAAACAGUACCCCUGUGGAAUCAGCAGAACUCAGGUGCCCACUCUCUUUUGUCCAGCAGUCUCAUCACCUCACCAUGUCACCUUUUGCAGACACCUGUUCACUGGACCACUGCACCACUGAAGACAGCCUCCUUCACUCUGUGUCCCACAGGCACCUAUCUUCACCUCUACCAUAUUUCAAGAUGAACACGCAAAACAAAACAAACAAAAAAAAACAAAAAAAACAAAAAAAAAAAACAAGAAUAAAUAAAAAUGACCUAUAGGCUCCCAACAGUCAGAUGGGGUAAUCCUGGUACCAAAAAUGUAGCCGGUGGGUUGUAAAGAAACAACACAGGAUACAAAAAUAUCUUUUUGGGGUUUUUAUUCUGAUGGCUGUUAAAAAAAAAAAAAAACAGUAGUUGAUGGGGUAUAUGUAAAAAAAAAUAAAAAAAUUAAAUGGUUCAACGAAAUAUGGUAGAGGCUAAUGUCAAAAGAAAUUCUUAAGUACUUGCUUAAAUCAUUCAAAGCAUUUUAUGCAUUUAACACAUGCUUAAAUCAUUCAAAGCAUUUUAUGCAUUUUUAACCAGGCUUUAAGGACAUGUAUAACAGUUUAAAACAAUAAAAUUCUCAUUAUUUUAUACUUAAUUGUAAACACUCUGGGUGAUAAAUUAUUAAAUAAGAUAUGAUUAAUUCUAAAUGUACAUUCCCAGUCCUCACAUGUUUGCACAAAACAUGAUCAAACUCCACACAUGCAAUCCAUAUGCAUCCUUCAAAUAUAACUCUCACGUCUUUAACCAGCAAACAUGUGCAACACGAGGAGUGUCGGAAAGCAGGUGUUGCAAAUCUCCGAUAUUAAAGGGGCCACGUCCAACCCAUGACCAGAGUUAAAUUUCAUGAAAUUUCUCAACUUCGCUACAUGUAGCUACUAAAUACUAGUUAAUAUUGCUUUUCCCUGUUAUAAUUGCCAAUUUACCUUUUAAGAGUAUUGACAGACAUUUUGGGGCAGUGGUGGGGCAGCAGUUAAGGCAAUGGGUUACUGAUCAGAAGGUUGGGGGUUCAAGCCCCAGCACUGCUAAGAUGCCACUGUUGGGCCCUUGAGCAAGGCCCUUGACCCUAUCUGCUCCAGGGGUACCAUAUCAUGGCUGACCCUGCACUCUGACCCCAGCUUAGCUGGGAUAUGUGAAAAAAAGAAUUUCACUGUAUAUGUAUAAUGUGUGAUAAAUAAAUAAGAUUAUAAAUUA